Molecule: ribosomal RNA, 1372 nt
Filed under: uncultured bacterium
Lineage: Bacteria
Description: bacterial SSU rRNA
Rfam family: Bacterial small subunit ribosomal RNA
Source: RNAcentral
GAUAAACGCUGGCGGCGUGCCUAAUACAUGCAAGUCGAGCGAACGGACGAGAAGCUUGCUUCUCUGAUGUUAGCGGCGGACGGGUGAGUAACACGUGGAUAACCUACCUAUAAGACUGGGAUAACUUCGGGAAACCGGAGCUAAUACCGGAUAAUAUUUUGAACCGCAUGGUUCAAAAGUGAAAGACGGUCUUGCUGUCACUUAUAGAUGGAUCCGCGCUGCAUUAGCUAGUUGGUAAGGUAACGGCUUACCAAGGCAACGAUGCAUAGCCGACCUGAGAGGGUGAUCGGCCACACUGGAACUGAGACACGGUCCAGACUCCUACGGGAGGCAGCAGUAGGGAAUCUUCCGCAAUGGGCGAAAGCCUGACGGAGCAACGCCGCGUGAGUGAUGAAGGUCUUCGGAUCGUAAAACUCUGUUAUUAGGGAAGAACAUAUGUGUAAGUAACUGUGCACAUCUUGACGGUACCUAAUCAGAAAGCCACGGCUAACUACGUGCCAGCAGCCGCGGUAAUACGUAGGUGGCAAGCGUUAUCCGGAAUUAUUGGGCGUAAAGCGCGCGUAGGCGGUUUUUUAAGUCUGAUGUGAAAGCCCACGGCUCAACCGUGGAGGGUCAUUGGAAACUGGAAAACUUGAGUGCAGAAGAGGAAAGUGGAAUUCCAUGUGUAGCGGUGAAAUGCGCAGAGAUAUGGAGGAACACCAGUGGCGAAGGCGACUUUCUGGUCUGUAACUGACGCUGAUGUGCGAAAGCGUGGGGAUCAAACAGGAUUAGAUACCCUGGUAGUCCACGCCGUAAACGAUGAGUGCUAAGUGUUAGGGGGUUUCCGCCCCUUAGUGCUGCAGCUAACGCAUUAAGCACUCCGGCUGGGGAGUACGACCACAAGGUUGAAACUCAAAGGAAUUGACGGGGACCCGCACAAGCGGUGGAGCAUGUGGUUUAAUUCGAAGCAACGCGAAGAACCUUACCAAAUCUUGACAUCCUUUGACAACUCUAGAGAUAGAGCCUUCCCCUUCGGGGGACAAAGUGACAGGUGGUGCAUGGUUGUCGUCAGCUCGUGUCGUGAGAUGUUGGGUUAAGUCCCGCAACGAGCGCAACCCUUAAGCUUAGUUGCCAUCAUUAAGUUGGGCACUCUAAGUUGACUGCCGGUGACAAACCGGAGGAAGGUGGGGAUGACGUCAAAUCAUCAUGCCCCUUAUGAUUUGGGCUACACACGUGCUACAAUGGACAAUACAAAGGGCAGCGAAACCGCGAGGUCAAGCAAAUCCCAUAAAGUUGUUCUCAGUUCGGAUUGUAGUCUGCAACUCGACUACAUGAAGCUGGAAUCGCUAGUAAUCGUAGAUCAGCAUGCUACGGUGAAUACGUUCCCGGGUCU